CCGCGGGAUUAGAGUUUGAUCAUGGCUCAGAUUGAACGCUGGCGGCAGGCCUAACACAUGCAAGUCGAGCGGUAACAGAUUGAUAGCUUGCUAUCAAUGCUGACGAGCGGCGGACGGGUGAGUAAUGCCUGGGAAUAUACCCUGAUGUGGGGGAUAACUAUUGGAAACGAUAGCUAAUACCGCAUAAUCUCUUCGGAGCAAAGAGGGGGACCUUCGGGCCUCUCGCGUCAGGAUUAGCCCAGGUGGGAUUAGCUAGUUGGUGGGGUAAUGGCUCACCAAGGCGACGAUCCCUAGCUGGUCUGAGAGGAUGAUCAGCCACACUGGAACUGAGACACGGUCCAGACUCCUACGGGAGGCAGCAGUGGGGAAUAUUGCACAAUGGGGGAAACCCUGAUGCAGCCAUGCCGCGUGUAUGAAGAAGGCCUUCGGGUUGUAAAGUACUUUCAGUUGUGAGGAAGGCGUUGAAGUUAAUAGCUUCAGCGCUUGACGUUAGCAACAGAAGAAGCACCGGCUAACUCCGUGCCAGCAGCCGCGGUAAUACGGAGGGUGCGAGCGUUAAUCGGAAUUACUGGGCGUAAAGCGCAUGCAGGCGGUCUGUUAAGCAAGAUGUGAAAGCCCGGGGCUCAACCUCGGAACAGCAUUUUGAACUGGCAGACUAGAGUCCUGUAGAGGGGGGUAGAAUUUCA
This 686-nucleotide ribosomal RNA is filed under the name uncultured Vibrionaceae bacterium. RNAcentral's name for it is "bacterial SSU rRNA". It matches the Rfam family "Bacterial small subunit ribosomal RNA", at positions 1 to 671 of the family's 1533-position model. Lineage: Bacteria; Pseudomonadati; Pseudomonadota; Gammaproteobacteria; Vibrionales; Vibrionaceae. The record is from RNAcentral.